Molecule: non-coding RNA, 12339 nt
Organism: Callithrix jacchus (white-tufted-ear marmoset)
Lineage: Eukaryota; Metazoa; Chordata; Mammalia; Primates; Cebidae
Source: RefSeq, a predicted model, not a curated record
AUCCUAAAACAAAAAUAAGUGACAUAUAAUAAAAUGUACCAGCCUAUCGUGUUUGAAACUGAGGAUACAGGUACGCUGAGGGAAUAUGAAGAACCAGGGUUGGCCAACUAGAUGACUAAGAUUCUGGGUUUCAGUUUAAAACACAGGAAAAAAAUAAUCUCUGAAAUACAAUGCACAAUGAAUAAUUAGCAGUGACAUCCACAGAAGAGUAUGCCUUAUAAAUGCGAAAUUCAUCAAGCCACUCAAGUCUUGGGAACUACUGGAUCAAGUGUAUGCUUGGCUAAUAUUCAGAGGCUCGAGCCAGAGAAGCCAGACACUACAGUUUAACACAGAAACCGUGGACAAAAAGCUUUCCCAGUGUUCCUUCCUCUUAUCAAAUUUGUCCACUUUCUAACAUCUAAUAAAACCAGUGGAAGACUCUCAGUGCCUGCAUGAAGAAUGUGUGACCUUGGGCAAACUGCUUCAUCUCUCAGUGGGUGAGUUUCUUCACCUAUAAAAUAAAAAGGGAUAACUUGGGUUUUAUGGACCAACAAAAAAAGGAGGGGCAAAGGCUGCCAAUUUUGCAUUUUGCCAAAAAAGACAGAAAACAAAACUAUUCUCUAAUUUCAUAAAAGAAAAGUCUUCCUUAAUGAUUCUUUACAUUGAACGAAUGGAGCACUGGGGAAAACACUACUGAGCUGGCAGCCAUGGCCAGGAGGACUGGAUUUAGAGUCAGUCAGCUAACGGUGAAUCCUGGUUCCCCCACUUCCUAGAGCUGCGCCCAUGGGCAAGUUACCUCCCUGUGCCUUAGGUUUUCAUAUGGCAAGUUAUGAUAUACCAUAGUUUUUCUUAUUAUGCCUUUUCACAGUACAUUUCUCAACUUCUAAAAUUCUAUCUAGAAAAGAAACAAAAGUCAGUCUCAGCAGACAAGUCUCAGUAGUCUCACACUGAAGACAAGUGUAACCAGGCAUGGCCCUGACUGUAGCUAUAACCGCUUAUCUCAUAGGACUGUGAUUAUGAUGAGUUAGCAAAGAAAGCAUUUAGGAAAGUGCCCUGCCACAUAGGAAGACUGUAAAUGUCAGCUUUCCUUAUUACCUUUAGUUUUCUUAUUUUGGCCUGGGUCAAUGAAAACCUUAUUACAGGCCAGCACCUGUCCAGAGACUUGAUUUAGAAACCAACAGAUUAACAACCGUUUUCUCCCCAUUAAACUCCUGUUGCAGUCUUUUUGUUUUUGAGACACGGUUUCACUCUGUCGCCCAGGCAUGAUCUCGGCUCAUUGCAACCUCUGCCUCCCCCAUUCAGGCAAUUCUCGUGCCUCAACCUCCUGAGUAGCUGGGAUUACAGGCGCAAGCCACCACGCCUGGCUAAUUUUUCUAUUUUUAGUUGAGACGGGGUUUCGCUAUGUUGGCCAGGCUGGUCUCAAACUCCUAACCUCAAGUGAUUUGCCUACCUCAGCCUCCCAAAGUGCUGGGAUUAUAGGCAUGAGCCACGAUGCCUGGCCUGGCACUCUUUUUUUAAACUUAGUUUUGACUAAGUUUUUAAAGUUUCAACUUUUAAUUAUACACGUUCUUUCGGACAGUAUUACUUUCUUUCACAAGUAUUUUAAAGCUCAGGAAAAGAGCACAUCUGGCACUGCUUUACUACUCUAGCUCUCAAAACAGCCCUGGCCUCAAAACAUACUUGUGGUCUGACAGCUGAUGUGUGCUCCCGUCUUCCUAAUCAGAAAAUGGGGGCAGCCCUGGCCUGCAGGGCCCGGUAAAGUCACCUGGCCCACACUUAGGAUUUGAUUCACAUGCGUUCCACUCCAAGGCAUACCCUCCAACAAUAUCAACAAUUGUCAACACUUAAACAGCACUUGCUGUGUGUGCCUGUCCCUAUGAAGCACUUUCUAUAUAUGUACUCAUUAAACUUCCACAACACUCUAUGAAGUAUGACCAUUAUUAUGACUAUAUGCAAAAGAGGGAACUAAGCACUGGGAAGUUAAGGAACUUGGUCAAGGUUGCACAGCCCGUAAGUGGCAGAGCUUGGGUUCAACCCAAGCAUUCAAUGAGUAGAUUCUAGAAUUCAACCCAGGCAGCUGAAUUCUAGAAUCUACGCAUUCCAUCUCUUAAGGCCAGAGCUGAGAAAUCUGUGGAGAUAGAUCAGUGUGGCAUUCUCCUUUGCUAAAGGGUUAGGCAAGUAGGCAGCAUACCCUACCUUCACUGAGUAUCCAAGCGCGAAGAUAACCUGGGGCUUUAAUAUAACACAGCAGCAACUGUCACUCCCCAAAGGACACACUGUAAUUACAUCCUGUUAGUAAACUGUGAAGCAGGUCUUUGAGAAGUAUCCCAGAAGAAAGCACUGUCAACACAGAAGAUGCUGACUCCAUGUGCCAAAGACCUUCCAGUGGGACGCGGCAUGGAGGCCGGGCGUGGUGGCUCACGCCUGUAAUCCCAGCACGUUGGGAGACCGAGGUGGGUGGAUCACGAGGUCAAGAGAUCAAGACCAUCCUGGUCAACAAGGUAAAACCCCGUCUCUACUAAAAAUACAAAAAUUUAGCUGGGCACGGUGGUGUGUGCCUGUAGUUCCAGCUACUCGGGAGGCUGAGGCAGGAGAAUUGCUUGAACCCAGGAAGCGGAGGUUGCGGUGAGCCGAGAUCGCGCAAUUGCACUCCAGCCUGGGUAACAAAAGAAACUCCGUCUCAAAAAAAAAAAAAAUUUUUUUUUUUGAGACAGUGUCUUACUCUGUUGCCCAAGCUGCAGUGCAGCAGCACAAUCACCACUCAUUACAGCCUCAAAGCCUAGGCUUAAGUAAUCCUCCCACCUCUGCUUCCCAAGCAGCUGGUACUACAGCUGUAUGCCACUACACCUGGCUAUUUUUGAAAAUUUUUGUGUAAAGGUGGGGUCCCAUUAUGUUGCCCAGGCUGGUCUUGAACUCCUGGGCUCAAGCAAUCCUCUGUCCUCAGCCUCCCAAAGUGCUGGGAAUACAGGUGCACCCACUAUGAGCAGCCCCCAAUUUUCUGUAUAAUGUUAACAUCAGCCAUUGGCAGGAUAGUCUACUCUUCUUCCAUAGCUAACUCCUUGUUUAAUACUGCAAUACUGACAAACAUACUGGGAGUUUGUCUCCAGAUUCACAAUAACCUGAGCACAGCUCCUGGCUGUGGUGGAUUAAUGACAGUCACCAAUUCUUUGCCACUCUUCCCUAUUUCCGUUCCCUUGAAUCUAAGAUAGUCCCAUGAUUGGCUUAAUGAACAGAACAUGAAGAAGUAAAAGGCCAGGUCUCAGGGGAUCUGCAGUUUCUGCUUUUCAGCUCCUGCAAUGCUCCCUCUUGUAUGUCAACUGUCACAUACAAUUCUGACUACCAAAGAACAGGCAAGCCCAAGCUAGCCACUGAAAAAGAGGGCACAUACAGGAGGAACAAGACACCAGACACAUGAACACAGACAUCUUAGACCUUCCACCCUAGCUCAGCCACUAAACAAACAAAAUUGACCAAAGCAAAACUGAAAGCAAAUAAAACGAUGGCUGUUGUCAAUCAGGGGCUGACAAACUUCUGUGAAAUGCCAGACAGUAACUACCGUUGGCUUCACGGGCCAACUGCUCAACUCUGCCAUUGCAGUGUGAAGGUAGCCACAGACAAUCCACGGAAGAGAGAAUCUGGCUGUGAUCCAAUAAAAGUUCAUUUUCAAAAACAGGCAAUGGACUAAAUCUGAACUGUAGAUAUGUAUGUAUUUUUUGAGACAGAGUUUCACUCUUAUUGCCCAGGCUAGAGUGCAAUGGCACCAUCUUGGCUCACAGCAAACUCUGCCUCCCAGGUUCAAGUGAUUCUUUUGCCUCACACUCCUGAGUAGCUGGGAUUACAGGCACGUGCCACCAUGCCCAGCUAAUUUUUGUUAUUUUUAGUAGAGAUGGGAUUUCACCAUAUUGGUCAGGCUGGUUUCAAACUCCUGAUCUCAAGUGAUCCACCCUCCUUGGCCUCUCAAAGUGCUGGGGUUACAAGGGUGAACCACCACGCCCCACCCAACUCAGACAUAAGUUUUCUAAGUUUUAAAUUGCUAAGUUUUACGGUAGUUUGUUUGGCAUUAAUACAUACCCAAAACACUGGCUGAACCCAGUUAUGAUAAGUUUUUUAACCUAAGUCUCAACUUUCUCACCUGUAAAAAUGGGGGAAAUAAUAGUAUCUAUACUUCGUAGGCCUACUGUAAAUAUUCAGUAUAAUGGCUGGCACAUAAAUACUUUGUCUUUGUUGCUAUUAAUUUCUAAAACAGAAACUGGUAGGAAGAGAAGUUAGUAAAAGGUAUUCUGAUAAUGUUUCCAGGCCAGACCCGUAACACUGCUAGCCACAAUUCAGCCACCACUCCCAAUAUACACAAAUCCCUACUCACCUAAACUCAGGACCCCAUCAUUUUUAGAAAAACCAGUAAUCUGCAAAAAGUGGUUCUGCUUUAAUAAAAGACACAGUAUCUAAAAAUCUUAUUAGUCUAAAUAAAGUUCUCCCCAAGCUCUCAGGACUAACAAUUUUUUUUAAGUUUAAUUAAGAAACACUGGCAGGGCGUGGUGGCUCACACCUGUAAUCCCAGCACUUUGUGAGGCUGAGGCAGGUGGAUCACCUGAGGUCAAGAGUUCAAGACCAGCCUGACCAACCUGGUGAAACCUCUUCUCUACUAAAAAUACAAAAUUAGCCAGGCAUAGCAGUGCAUGCCUGUAAUCCCAGCUACUUGGGAGGCUGAGGCAGGAGAAUCGCUUGAACCUGGGAGGUGAAGGUUGCAGUGAGCCAAGACUGUACCAUCAUACUCCAGCCUGGGCAACAAGAGUGAAACUCUAUCUUUAUUUUGGCAUCAAAAUUGAUUUAUGAUGAGUUAUUUUAUACAUAUGAGAACAUGUAUAAGUGUGUAAUAUAAAAAUGCCUAAUAAAAGGGAUGCCCAUAGGACCACAGUAUAGCUGAAGAGAGCAUUGGCCAGGCGUGGUGGCUCACACCUGUAAUCCCAGCACUUUGGGAGGCUGAGGCAGGUGGGUCACUGGAGGUAAUGAGUUCAAGACCAGCUUGGCCAACAUGGCGAAACCUGUCUCUACUAAGAAGAAAAAAUAAAAAAUUAGCCAGGCUUGGUGGCAAGCGCCUGUAAUCCCAGCUCUCAGGAGGCUGAGGCAGAAGAAUCGUUUGAACCUUGCAGGUAGAGGUUGCACCGAGCAGAGAUCACACCAUUGCACUCCAGUCUGGGCAACAAGAGCAAAACUGUCUCAAAAAAGAAGAGAGAGAGACAGCAUUAACAAGACUCUGGAAGCACUCUGCGUACCGCUGACUCCAAUGUUUUCUGAACUGUGUGUUUAUAUUACUAUUCAUUAUAAUUCUAUUGCACAGGAAUAUAUUGCUAAACAAUGUAGAGUUUAGUUUUGCAUGUUCUGGAUCUUUUAAUAAUUGCUUAUGCACCAGCAAAAGUUUUGCUUUUGUAUUCCAUUCCAUAAAUAUACUGCAAUUUAUCUAUCAAUUCUAAUGCAGUAAGUUGUUUGCUGUAUUUUGCUAGCAUGAAAGACAAUGUUAAGAGUACUUGUAUACAUGAUUCACAGCCAUGUUCAAGAAUUCCUCUAGUAAAUAUACUCACCAGCAACUGCUAGGUUUCAAAGUCUGAAUGUUUUUCAACUUUGCCAGAGAAUAGUCAAAAUUAUUCUCAAAGUGCUUAUAUCUCUUUAUAUCUGCAGUGGUUAAGAAUCUCCACUGACAACAUCUUCAUUAAAUACGGACUUGAGACUAAAAUACUUGCCGAAUUAGAAGGUGUAAAAGGGUGUCUCAUUGUCGCUGUAAAUUUAAAUUUCUGUGACUAAGAACAGACUCCCCUCAAAUGUUUAUUUUACUGUUCCGUCUUCUGUAAAAAUGUUGGUGUCAUCUGCCCCUUUUUCUGAGUUGUCUUUUUAUGGAUACUCCUGUAUUUUCUCUAAAAAUUGUCCAAUUUUCCCUGUGAUAUUUAAGCCUUCAAUUCAGAACUUCUUUUUAGUGUGUUCAAGUCAGAGGCAGUCUCAUUUUUCUAUGUUUUCCCUAUAGAACCACCUUUCCUACUGACCAGCAACAAUAAUUCUGUCAUGCCUUCAUCAAGUUUCCAUAAAUGCAGGGUCUCUUUUCUGGUCUAUCUUUUGGUGCCAGUGUCCCUAAGAUUAGAAUUAAAUGUCUAUUAGAUCAGGAGUCCCCAAGCCCCUGGCCACAUACUGGUAUCAGUUUGUGGCCUGUUAGGAACUGGGCCGCACAGCAGGAGGUGAGUGGCAGGGUAAGGGGGAUGAGUGAGCAUUACCAGCUGAGCUUUGCCUCCUGUCAGAUUCUUUUAAGAGCGCAAACCUUAUUGUGAAUUGCACAUUUGAGGGAUCUAGGUUGUGAGCUCCUUUUGGGAAUCUAACUAAUCAUGCCUGAUCCAAGAUAGAACAGUUUCAUCCCAAAACCAUCCCCAACCCCCAUCCACGGAAAAAUUGUCUUUCCAUGACACCAGUCCCUGGUACCAAAAAGGUUGGGGACUGCUGUGUUAGACUUGCCCAUAAAGCUAUAUAGAACUGAGGGUUUUUUGUUAGUUUAAUAAAAAAAUGUUAAACUAGUGUUUGAAUUUGAUAGUUACAGGAUUAUUUUAGUUUUCUUCUUCAAAAUCCAGCUUCAGUAGCUUUGCAUUUUUCUAGAUAUUUAUGUGUUGCAAUAUAGGAGAGGGAUGGUAUCUCCUUUUCAUCUAUUUUGGAAGGGGGUUGGAUUCAUUUUUAAAAUUUGUUUUUAAUCGACACAUAGUAAUUGUACAUAUUUAUGGGAACAGUGUGAUGUUUCAAAACAUAUAUGUAUUGUGUAAAAAUCAAAGUAGGGUAUUCAGCAUAUCCAUCACCUUAUACAUUUAUCAUUUGUUCGUGGCAAGAAGACUAAAUAUCCUCUCUUCUAGCUAUUUUGAAAUGUGUCACAUUGUUAACCACAGUCACCCUACUGUGCAACGGAACAGGUGAACUUACACCUCCAAUCUAAUUGUAACUCUGUACCCACUGACUAGCCUCUCCCUAUCCCCUGCUCCCCAUUAGCCUAUUUUAAAUUUAUUCAAAUGAAAUUGUUCAUUAUAUUCUUAGUAACAUUUUUAACUGUGGAGCUUCUGGUAGGAGUAUAAAAUUAUAUUAUACAACCACCUUGGGAAUGCAGUUUGCAAAGUUUAGCAGUUUCUUGUAAAAUUAAACAUAUGCCUACCCUAUAACUCAGCAACUUCACUCGUUUUUAUAUACCCAAAAGAAAUGAAAACAUAUUUUCGCAAAAAAUGUGUAUAGUAUGUUCACUGGCUGGGCACGGUGGCUCACGCCUGUAAUCCCAGUACGUUGGGAGGUCAAGGAGGGUGGAUCACGAGGUCAGGAGAUCAAUACCAGCCUGACCAACAUGGUGAAACCCCGUCUCUACUAAAAUACAAAAAAUUAGCCAGGGUGAUGGCAUGCACCUAUAGUCCCAGCUACUCGGAAGGCUGGGGCACAGGAAUUGCUUGAAUCCAGGAGGCGGAGGCUGCAGUGAGCUGAGAUCAUGCUACUACACUCCAGCCUGGCAACAGAGCAAGACCAUGACUCAAAAAAAAAAAAGUUCACAGCAGCUUUAUUCAAAUAGCCAAAACCUGAAAACAACUCAGCUGUCCCUCAGUAAGAGACUGGAUCAACUGUGGUAUAAUCACACAAUGGAAUGAGCUCAGCACUAAAAAUGACACCAAACAACAGGGAUGGACUGCAAAAAGACUACACUGAGUGAAAGAAGCCUUACACAAAGGAGUACACAUUAUGUGAUUCCAUCUAUAAGAAGUCCCAGAACAGGCAAAACUAAUCGACGGCAGAAAAAGUGUCCUUGAAGCUACUGCCUCUGGAGACAUGGUGUGGGGACUGACAUGAAAGAGGCAUGGGGGAACUUUCUGGAGUAAAGCCUUUACAUGUUGACAGUGGCUUGAGUUACACAGGUGUUUGCAUUUCCCAAAACCCAGCGACUGUACACUCAAGAGCAGGGCAUUUUAUUGUACUGUAUAUACAUUUUACAUUCAAAGAAAAAACUGUCAACAAUGAACUCCAGUUAACCAUGUGCAUACUGAUGAAUUGCAGAGGAAGUACUGAUGUCUACAUUAUUUUAAAAUGCCUUAAAAACUGGACCAAUGGAUUAUUUAAUACUUGCUUUACUACCUAUCUAAUAAAGUAAAUAAUAAAAUGUUAACUACAAAAUCUAGGGAGUAUAUGUAUUCUACAAAUAUUUUUCACCUUAAUUCUAUGUUGAAAAUUUUAUGUACUUUAAUAAAUUAAGAAUAGGGUCUUAUUUCUCUUAUGAAAUUCCUGAAUGAGUGACAAAGUAUAAAGCAUCAUUUUCUACCUGAAUCUAUGGCUUCACGUCCUGAUUUCUUCCUUUUGUCAUAAGACUUCUUCCCUUUUUUCUGAGUUUUCUGCAAACAAACAAACAAAAAACAAAAAAACCCCACAGCAUUUAAUAAGAAAAGUUUUCUUUGUCUUAAAUCAUAAGGAUUAACACUAUUAGCAAACUGUCAUUCAGUAUUUUAGCCGAGCACAGUGGCUCAUGCCUGUAAUCCCAGUAUUUCAGGAGCCUGAGGUGGACAGACCACUUGAGGUCUGGAGUUCCAGACCAGCCUGGCCAACGUGGUAAAACCCCGUCUCUACUAAAAAUAAUACAAAAAUUGUAUUAUUUUCGUAAUAAUAAUAAUGAUUACAUGGGCAUGGUGAUGCGUGCCUGUAAUCCCAGCUAGUGGGGGUUAGCAGAGACAGGAGAAUCACUUGAACUCAGGGGAGUCAGAGGUUGCAGUGAGCUGACACUGUACCACUGCACUCCAGCCUGGGCACAGAGCAAGACUCCAUCUCCAGAAGAAAAAAAAAAUAAACUACAAUUCUCAUUUAGUUCUAAAAUAGAUUCAUUAUAUAAAUUAUCUACAUUAAUAUAUGGAAGCAUUGCAAACAAACUGUCACAAAAUACGAAAAAAUAAAACUGAUAAUAGAUGUUGCCUUGAUAGAAAAACUGAACUUUAAUUACUUAAGACAACAUGUGGAAUCAGCUCAAAUUUCUGCUCUCAGCUGUGGUAAAGUAACAGCUUCCAAACUAGCUCUCUUGCCAUAAACAACCAUAAAAAAUGGGGGAAUAGGGGUGGCAAUUCAAUUCAGGUACUGGACAAUAGGCAACACACAAGACUGAGUUCCUAGAGAAAGGGAAGGUGAACCCCAUGACUGCCAUCCCCAAUCCACACAGUUUCUAGAUGGGGCAUAGUGAGCUAAAGUCUAAGCAGGGCAUGACAAUCCUACCCAGCUGAGAGGCACUUGGAAUAAGCUGCUCAGACGAGAGCACAGGCACCUGUGGCGCAGGGUGGCGCGGGGUGGCGGGGGGGCUCCUAAAAGUACUUGUCGGAGUACUGCCCAUGUGCUGCGUGAGACCACACAAAGCCUACCAGAAAGCACUAUCGUGGGGUUAACAAUAUAAUCGAUAACAAAGGACAAACAGCACUGGGGUCAUCAUGGGACAAAGUAAAUAUACCUGUGAAAGAGACAACUCACGGCUCAUCAGAAACCAUGAAGACCAGAAGACAACAGAAUGGCAUAAAGAGCUGGGGAAUAAAUCUGUCAACUCAGAAUUCCAUAGCCAGUGAAAUAUCCUUUAAAAACAGAGUUAAAAUAAAAACACUUCCAGAUAAACAAAAUCAGAGAAUUUGUCACCAGCAGACCUGCCAUGAAAGAAAUGCUAGAAGAUAUACUGUAAGCCGACGGGAAAAGAUACCAAUCAGUGAAAUGGAAAAAGGAACAGAUAAAAGACUACAGAACUGCUGCUGCUCAUACUUUUCUUAAAACAAAAACAAAAACAAAAAACAACUCUUUCAGCCAGGUGCGGUGGCUCAUGCCUGUAAUCUUGGUACUUUGGGAGGCCAAGGCGGGCAAAUCACAACAGAUGGAGACCAUCCUGGUCAACAUGGUGAAAUUCCAUCUCUACUAAAAAUACAAAAAUAACUGGGCAUGGUUGUGCACGCCUAUAGUCCCAGCUACUCAGGAGGCUAAGGCAGGAGAAUUGCUUGAACCUGGGAGGCAGAGGUUGCAGUAAGCCGAGAUCACGCCACUGCACUCCAGCCUGGUGACAGAGCAAGAUUCUGUCUCAAAAAAAAAAAAAAAUUCUUUCAAGCAGAAAUGACUAUAUAAAGUUAGAUUAAUAACACAGAAGUAAAACAUGACAAAACAGCACAGAGGAUGGGGAUGGAUACAUGGAAUACAUAAUAUUGUUACAUAAUUACAUUUAUGUAGUGGGAGGAAGGUAGUUGUCAAGUAGAAUGUAUGAGGUGAUAACACACUGAUUUUAAAUAGACUUUGCUAAUUUAAGGAAUUUUUUUAACCUAGGAGCAACCACUGGAAAAAAUUUAAAAAGGUAUAGCUAAGAAGCCCACAGAGAAAAUAAAAUGAAAUACAAAAAUAAUAUUCAACUACUCCAAAAUGAGCAAGAGAUAAAACAGAAUCAAAUGGAAAACAGUAUGGUACAUGUGAAAGUCGCCAAGUUUAAAAUUACAUCAAAAGUCAAUGGACUUUCAGCACAAGUUAAAACACCUCCUCUAUGUAACUGAUAAAUCAAACAGACCAUCCCCCCUCAUCAAAAACAGAAAAACAGUAAGGAGACAAAAUCUCUGAACUAUACUAUCAAUCAGCUUGGCCUCAAUUGACAUUUACAGAACACACAGCUGCAAAUUCCAGUGCACAUGGGAUGUUCACCAAGACAGAUCAGCAAUAGAAAUAAUGUUUUGCUUCCAUUUGUGUAAAGACAGGAAAUAAAAAUAAUAUGUUUACAUUUGUUUACAUAUACAAAAGGAAACUUGAAGGAUAUAUAAGAAACUAUAAGGUUACCUGUGUGUAUGUUUAGCAGGUGGAAAGGUGAAGAAGAUAGGGUAGCAGGGACACCUGAUUAUAUUUUGAAAAAGUUUCAAAACAUUAAGCUCAAAUGAAUUAACAAUCACAUAUUAAAAACUUGACCAAAAGACAUUACAUGUCAAGAAUUUUAGAACCAAUAAGACGACCCAGAAUUCUUUUUUUUUGAGAUGGAGUCUCACUCUGUUGCUGAGUAUAUUGGCAUGCUGGUCUUGGCUCACUGCAACCUCCACCUCCUGGUUCAAGUGAUUCUCCUGCCUUACCCUCCCAAGUAAUGAACUACAGGCACCCGCCGCCAUACUGGCUAAUUUUUGUAUUUUCAACACAUUGGCCAGGCUGGUCUCGAUUUUCUGACCUUGUGAUCUGCCUGCUUUAGCCUCCCAAAGUGCUGGGAUUACAGGCAUGAGCCACUGCACCCUGCUAUUUUUUUUAAGACAGAGUCUCGCUCUGUCAUCCAGGAUGGAGGGCAGUGGUGUGAUCUGGGCUCACUGCAACCUCCAACUCCCAGGUUGAAGCGAUUCUCCUGCCUCAGCCUCCUGAGUAGCUGCAACUACUGGCACCACCAUGCCUGGCUAAUUUCUAUAUUUUUAGUAGAAACGGGGUUUCACCAUGUUGUGCAGACUGGUCUGGAACUCCUGACCUUAAGUGAUCCAACUAAUACCUUGGCCUCCCAAAGUGCUGGGAUAACAAGCAUGAGCCACUGGGCCCAGCCAAGAUCCAGAAUUCUUACCAGCAAUUUUUUUCUAAGGAAAUGAUCCAAGGAAUACACAAAUAUUUAGCUACAACAAAAUCCAUCAAAGCACUUAUAAUUUUUAAAAUAGCAAUUCAGAGAUUACUAAACUAUGCCAUAUCCAUGAAUGGAAUGUUAUACAUUCAUUAAAACAGUAUUGUUGAAUACUUAAUGACAAGUAUAUGAUUUCACUUAGGGUAAUAAAAGCUCACUGAAAGGACUGAACAGCAUAGACCAAAAAACAUGGUGGUUAUUUUGGGUUAUGGUAUUACAGGCAAUUUUAUCUUCUUUUCUAUACCUUCUAGAUUUUUUUUUUUUUUUUUUUUUUUUUUGGAGACAGAGUCUUGCUCUGUCGCCCAGGCUGGAGUGCAAUGGCGCAAUCUCGGCUCACUGAAACCUCUGCCUCCCGAGCUCAAGCGAUUCUCCUGCCUCAGCCUCCCAAGUAGCUGGGAUUACAGGCACAUACAACUGCACCCAACUGAUUUUAGUAUUUUUAGUAGAGACAGGGUUUCACCAUGUUGCCCAGGCUGGUCUUGAACUCCUGACCUCAGGUGAUCUACCCACCUCGGCCUCCCAAAGGUGCUGGGAUUACAGGCAUGAGCCACCAUAACCAGCCAUACCUUUUUGAUUUUCCAAAACAUUUUUAUUACAUUAAAUACAAAAUUUAUCUUUGAAAAGAUCUGAAGGAAAGAGAAAAUGUUUCAUUUCUUCCCUAAAAUUUUUCAAUAAACUUUUUUUGCUCUCCAAGGGGAUGGCAGACACUCUUAGACACUCUUACCGAC